Molecule: non-coding RNA, 65 nt
Filed under: Tepidibacillus decaturensis
Lineage: Bacteria; Bacillati; Bacillota; Bacilli; Caryophanales; Bacillaceae
Also listed under: 1 other name
Description: Fluoride riboswitch aptamer (crcB RNA motif)
Rfam family: Fluoride riboswitch aptamer (crcB RNA motif)
Source: Rfam by way of RNAcentral
UAAAUAAUGGGCGAUGGAGUUCGCCUUAAACUGCCUAAUCAUAGGCUAAUGACUCCUACCAGAAC